CACAGCCCCGGCCUGUGUCCCGCUCUCUGCCCCGACUGGCCUGAGUCCCUGCCGCUCUGAGGUAACCACCGCCGGGGCAACAGCGCCCAGACCCCUCCCCCUGCCCCGGGCCGCACACAAUGACAGGCGUGUUACACAAACACGCACUCCGGCAACGCGCUCGCCCCGCUCUGGAAGCGGCCGGCUGUUGCCAUGGCGAUCUAGCACCUCCGCGCCGGCAGCACUCUCACCUGCGGACAGGUGUGCGGGAGGCUCUGACAGUAAGGUCAAAGCUGAAAUUAGGGGGCGAGACCAAUCUCUGCCAGAUCAGGCAGAUUGUCAAGAACCAGAUUGUCAAGUGCGGGGAAUGACAAGAGAGACAAUCAGAUUGAGGGUCGUCAGUUUCCCGGGACACACAGAGACGCUGGUGCAUCGUGUGUGAAUGCAGCAGCACCCCGAACCAGACUCCUGAAGCCCCGAGCGCAGGUCACCGCAGGAGAAGCUGGGAUUCAGGGAUUCAGGGAUUCAGGCGAGUCGCCAGGAAACAGGAGCGGGCCGGGCCGCGCGGAGCUGCUGUCCCGCCUCACACACGUCAUCAACUAGUGACCCGAAACACCAAUCAGCGUCUGCGGUGAAUCAGUGACCCCGCCCCAAGCGACGAGCGGCCGAUGAUGAUGAAAAUUAUUAAUUAGGAUUAGCGGUAACUAUUAUGUUAUGGAUAAUAUUAUUAAUAAUAAAAUUAUGAUUAUGA
Molecule: long non-coding RNA, 730 nt
Organism: Lepisosteus oculatus (spotted gar)
Lineage: Eukaryota; Metazoa; Chordata; Actinopteri; Semionotiformes; Lepisosteidae
Source: RefSeq, a predicted model, not a curated record